Molecule: transfer RNA, 72 nt
Filed under: Ixodes scapularis (black-legged tick)
Lineage: Eukaryota; Metazoa; Arthropoda; Arachnida; Ixodida; Ixodidae
Rfam family: tRNA
About the family: Transfer RNA (tRNA) molecules are approximately 80 nucleotides in length. Their secondary structure includes four short double-helical elements and three loops (D, anti-codon, and T loops). Further hydrogen bonds mediate the characteristic L-shaped molecular structure. tRNAs have two regions of fundamental functional importance: the anti-codon, which is responsible for specific mRNA codon recognition, and the 3' end, to which the tRNAs corresponding amino acid is attached (by aminoacyl-tRNA synthetases). tRNAs cope with the degeneracy of the genetic code in two manners: having more than one tRNA (with a specific anti-codon) for a particular amino acid; and 'wobble' base-pairing, i.e. permitting non-standard base-pairing at the 3rd anti-codon position.
Source: Rfam by way of RNAcentral
CCCUGGUUAGCUAGUUGGUAGAGCGCUCCACCUGUCAUGGAGAGGUCCCGGGUUCGAUACCCGGACUAGGCG